This 631-nucleotide ribosomal RNA is filed under the name Bacillus siamensis. Its description in RNAcentral is "bacterial LSU rRNA". It matches the Rfam family "Bacterial large subunit ribosomal RNA", at positions 2298 to 2925 of the family's 2925-position model. Lineage: Bacteria; Bacillati; Bacillota; Bacilli; Caryophanales; Bacillaceae. The record is from RNAcentral.
UAACGGAGGCGCCCAAAGGUUCCCUCAGAAUGGUUGGAAAUCAUUCGCAGAGUGUAAAGGCACAAGGGAGCUUGACUGCGAGACCUACAAGUCGAGCAGGGACGAAAGUCGGGCUUAGUGAUCCGGUGGUUCCGCAUGGAAGGGCCAUCGCUCAACGGAUAAAAGCUACCCCGGGGAUAACAGGCUUAUCUCCCCCAAGAGUCCACAUCGACGGGGAGGUUUGGCACCUCGAUGUCGGCUCAUCGCAUCCUGGGGCUGUAGUCGGUCCCAAGGGUUGGGCUGUUCGCCCAUUAAAGCGGUACGCGAGCUGGGUUCAGAACGUCGUGAGACAGUUCGGUCCCUAUCCGUCGCGGGCGCAGGAAAUUUGAGAGGAGCUGUCCUUAGUACGAGAGGACCGGGAUGGACGCACCGCUGGUGUACCAGUUGUUCUGCCAAGGGCAUCGCUGGGUAGCUAUGUGCGGACGGGAUAAGUGCUGAAAGCAUCUAAGCAUGAAGCCCCCCUCAAGAUGAGAUUUCCCAUUCCGCAAGGAAGUAAGAUCCCUGAAAGAUGAUCAGGUUGAUAGGUCUGAGGUGGAAGUGUGGCGACACAUGGAGCUGACAGAUACUAAUCGAUCGAGGACUUAACCAUUUU